ACACCAUUCAUGCACUUCUCAUUAACUACCAAAUAGCUUCAUUUGGAGUAACUUUUUGUCCAUUGCUAUGAGAGAUAAUCUGAGCUGAAGAUCAAAGAAGAAGACUUUGUAUUUACUGACACUCUCCUCCCUUAUCCAUACAAUCCCUCUGGUCUCUGUUUUUUGAGCUAAUACAUGGUUUGUUCCAGGCUGUGGGGCACGUAGAAACAGAGGUUCAGACCACCCACAUCCACAGUGCGUCUGGGGAUGCUGGAAUUACACGAAGCUGAGGUAUAGCUAGAUUAAAGGCCAUUUGGAAGGGGAGGAGACACAAGCCAUCCUAGUGUGUUUUACAGGAGAACAGUGGCUCAGUGGAUGGAGCACUUUGCCUGAAUUCAGGAAGAUCAGAGGUCAAAACUGGCCUCAAACACUUAAUAGCGGUGUGACCUUGGCAACAUAAUCUGGAAAAACAAAAUGAAAGUGGAACAACCUCCAGGAAUUGAUGCAGAGUGAGAGAAGCAGAACCAGGAGAACAAUGUACACAGAAACUGAUACACUGUGGCACAAUUGAAUGUAACUGACUUUUCUACCAGCAGCAAUGCAAUGAUCUAGGACAAUUCUGAGGGACUUAGAGAAAGAACACUAUCCACAUCCAGAGGAAGAACUGUGGGAGCAGAAACGCAGAAGAAAAACAUGUGCUUGAUCACAUGGUAUGAUUAGGGUUUUGCUGUUAAAAAAUCACUCUAUUGCAAAUAUGAAUAACAUGGAAAUAGGUUUUGAACAAUAAUACAUGUAUAACCUAGUGGAAUUGCUUGUCAUCUUUGGGAGGGGGGAGGAGAAAGUGGGAGGAGGGGAAUCAUGAAUCAUGUAAACUUGGAAAAAUAUUCUAAAUAAAAAUAAAAUAAAAUGAAAG
This 892-nucleotide long non-coding RNA is filed under the name Monodelphis domestica (gray short-tailed opossum). RNAcentral's name for it is "lncRNA (ENSMODG00000043275.1)". Lineage: Eukaryota; Metazoa; Chordata; Mammalia; Didelphimorphia; Didelphidae. The record is from RNAcentral.